This 458-nucleotide ribosomal RNA is filed under the name uncultured bacterium. Its description in RNAcentral is "SSU rRNA". It matches the Rfam family "Bacterial small subunit ribosomal RNA", at positions 26 to 518 of the family's 1533-position model. The record is from RNAcentral.
AGAAUCAACGCUGGCGGCGUGCCUAACACAUGCAAGUCGCACGAGAAAGGGACUUCGGUCCUGAGUACAGUGGCGCACGGGUGAGUAACACGUGAAUCAUCUACCUCCGAGUGGGGAAUAACCUAGAGAAAUCUGGGCUAAUACCGCAUAACACUUACGAGUCAAAGCAGCAAUGCGCUUGGAGAGGAGUUCGCGGCAGAUUAGUUAGUUGGCGGGGUAAUGGCCCACCAAGACGAUGAUCUGUAUCCGGCCUGAGAGGGCGCACGGACACACUGGAACUGAAACACGGUCCAGACUCCUACGGGAGGCAGCAGUGGGGAAUUUUGCGCAAUGGGGAAACCCUGACGCAGCAACGCCGCGUGGAGGAUGAAAUAUCUUGGUAUGUAAACUCCUUUCGAUGGGGAAGAUAAUGACGGUACCCAUAGAAGAAGCCCGGCUAACUUCGCGCCAGCAGCCGC